Molecule: long non-coding RNA, 962 nt
Organism: Hippocampus comes (tiger tail seahorse)
Lineage: Eukaryota; Metazoa; Chordata; Actinopteri; Syngnathiformes; Syngnathidae
Exons: 2
Source: RefSeq, a predicted model, not a curated record
CUCUGACAUCCAUCCACAUGAGUGCUCAGACUCCCCCCUCGCCACCCCCUCUCACCCCACUCCCUCUGAGUUUACAGCCAGCACCUUGUGAUCCCACCGGACUUGGCAGUCCACUUCACUUAUAUAACUCUGUCUAAGGAACGUGGGGAGCCUCACUCUAAUCACAUCUUUACAAAACGGCUUCGGUGUGGAUGGCGGUGGAACAACAAAUUCAGAACAGAGUCUUGGUAGCACACAUCAAAAGGGACUUGUGGAUGGGUCGGGUGAGCGUCUGAUGCCGUUCCACAAUUUCAAACCUGGAAACAAACACAAUUAAAUGACAUCGAUACCCCAUUUUGGAUAUGAGAUCAGCCCAAAUGUGAGUCCACUGGGACAAACGGCUCCAUUUUGUGCAAUGUUUUUUUUUUUCUUCCUACCACUGAUUAAAAAAGAUCAACAGGAGGGGGACUAUUCUUUCAUUUGGGAGAUUCAUUUAGCACAAUAUCUAGAAUGUUCUUGAAAAUGUCAAAAUACUGUAAAAUGGCCGGAACUGAAUCAGUUAAACUGUUACUUUGUGGCUUAAUAUCAUUGCACUGAAAACUGCAUUGAAUGCAAAACGUCAUCAAACAAACUUUUUUUUUUUUGCUCUGGAAAAACAUUGAGCUGAACUUGAAAAAGUAUCUCAAACACUAUUUCAUGCCGACUAUGCUUCCUCAAAAAGAUUAGUUUCAGUUGUUUUUGUUACAUAGUUCACGCUCAGUGUAUUUUACUCAUGCUGAAAGUCGAUGUGACCAACCAGUCAAGUCUCAAGUUUUAUUUUGAAAGUCCCUGCUCUUUGCCAGACAGUCUCUAUUAAUAUCUCUCUUAAAAUACUGUCCUCUGGUUACGCGUGUAACACCAUCAUGUGUGUCAGGUUGCUAACAUAUACAAGAUACCGCACAUGGCAAUAAAAAUGAAAAUAUCUACGCUAUACAGUAUGUUUU